Molecule: small RNA, 3244 nt
Filed under: Rattus norvegicus (Norway rat)
Lineage: Eukaryota; Metazoa; Chordata; Mammalia; Rodentia; Muridae
Description: uncharacterized LOC102550643
Source: RNAcentral
CUGUCUCUCUCUCUCUCUCUCUCUCUCUGUCUCUCUCUCUCUCUUUUUCAUUGCCAUGUCUUGAUUUACAUGAAUACGAGUGCUGGUGCUAGAGAUCCAAACUCAAGUCUAUGUACUUGUGCACCAAACCGUUCCCCAGCCCCUAAUCCAAGCAUUAAUAAAGCCUGGUAAGGGGACUUCCUUUCUGGGUCAACAGAGUAAAUUAGCCUUCUGCAGGUCAUACAGUGUAAAAACACUCCGUAAUAGUUUGCAUAUAAUUCUAAUGUUCUACUGGUAGACCCAUUCUCUCUGUGAACAUCUGUGCCUAUAUUAACAUUUUUGCAACAGAAAUUCCUUGCGUGGACAAAACAGUAAAUCCAGAUACAACAGAUGCAUAGUCUAUGACAGCGGGUACCAAGAUGAAAGCAUACUUACAUCAAUAAAAACGCUGCUGCAAGGACCUCCAUAUAAAUAUGUUUAAGAUAGUAGUGAAUUAGAUUAAAUAUAAUUACUAUAUCUUUGAGACAGGUUCUUGCUGUGAAGUCCAAACAGGCAAUCCUCCUGCUUCAACCUCCUAGGAUUACAAGACUACCACUAUGCCAAGCUUAAAUUACUUUUUGGAUAAAUGUUUAUAUUUAUUAGAUUGUUUAAAAAAAACAACUCUGAGAUAUAAAAAGCAUUUUCAGCUUAGAAUGGCUUAAACUGUAUUUACAAUACAAAUUUCAGAAAAGACGUUUUCUCUUUCUACCCUGGUCCAUGGCGAACCUCUUCUGAAGCAGCAUCCCAUUGGUUCUAGCUCACAAUUUCCAGUGGUAGAGGUGAAAGCUGAGAACUGAGGCUGUUUGUACUAAUAUAUAGUGACUAUUUACAUAGUCAUUCAGCUUGAAACUGUGCCUGGGACAGGCUGGGGACACGGUGGUGAUUAAGAGCUAACAUGGAAUUUGACCUCUUAGUGGUGAGGAGGCAAGCAAACAAACUCACACCUGAGGUUUUUUUCCAUGGACUGACUGCUCAUCAGAAGACUUAGCCUGCCUCAGUGUUUUACCCACCAGAGGGAUUUCUGCUGCAGAAAUGAGCACUCUAAACAAAAGGAAGCCAAGCCACCUGUCAGUGAGCAGCUAGCUGGUCUGGAGGGUGCAGGAUAUGGUUUGAGAGGGAUGCAGAGUGCUUUCCGUUGUAUAUGGAACAUCCCUGUUGCUUAAGACACACGGUGGGUAUUAUCAUCUUAUGCCUCUUCAUUACAAAGGAAUCAUUUCAUACUCGAGAUCCUUAAAAGGUAAAUUAGUGUUGCAGAAACAAAAACGGUCAAAAAAUUAAAAGCUACCUCCCCAAAGACCCGAUGGGAUAGAGGUAGAGGUUGUGUGUGAUAUAUACACCAGGCUAGCAAUGUACUUUCAUUUCUUUAGAAUAUGGGAGUCGCCUACGUCUUUGCCUCACUUCAUGGAAGAAGUCUAGUCCCAGAGGCAAAGCUCACCAGCUGACCAACAGUGGUUCAACUUCCCUGGGAGUUCCUGAGAAAGAAAGGGCCUCUGGCCCAACGUAAGACCUCUGGCUGCCAGGUAUGCAUUUCCCAUGUGUGCUAACACUUCUGGAUGCCCUUCAGAUCAACCGAUCACUCUAAUUAGGCUCAUAGGAGUGUUUUUGUUUAUUUUGAGUUUUUUUUUUCCUUUAAAAAUGUCCUGAGACAAUGACAUUGAGUAUUUAAGUUCUUAGCAUCAGGUAUUGGAAAAAGAAGGAAGAAUGGACUCUUCCUAGUAUCUGAAAUGACAGUAACCCAUUGAUACCUCGCUUUGUUUCUCUUCCUCAUGGAGGGCAUCCAGGUAUCGAGACAAGUUGCCUCAGGAAAAACACUUGAGGUAAGUGUACUUUGUGGUCCUUCUGCAUAUUCACACAAUGGGUACACUUUCAAGUUCUCUCACCUACACACACACACACACACACACACACACACACACACACACACACACUCCAAGGGUACAAUCACUUAAUACCCCCAACAAUAAUUACCAUAAAAUGCUCAAAAAAAUGAAAUUAUUAUGCCUUCAUUGAGUUUGCUUUACCAUGAACUGUUAAGGGAAUUAGUACUUUUUUGUGUGUUAUUAGAGUAAAGCAUUUUUAACUCAUUUUUGGGAUGUGCAUUGAUGUGUAUGCAUGUAUGUGUGAACAUCAUGUGUCAUGAGCUGAUCACCUUGUUUUAGGAGACAGGAUUUCUCACUGAGACCUGGGGAUCACAAGAGAACCCCUAGUCUCUCCCCAGAGCUAGGAUUACAAACACGUGCCACCAUUCCUGACUUUUUAUGUGGGUCCUGGGAUCAAACUCACAUCUUUGUGGGCUAGGAUACCUCUUUUUCAUUUUUUGACAUGUACAGGACAGUAUACCGCAGGACACUGCUACGCAACAGAUCUCCAGAAUGUCUUUUAUCUUGCGUGACUGAAACCUCAUCCCCAGUGAACUGGUAACUCAUCAGCAGCCCCUGGCCAUUGCCAUUCAACUUUCUGAUUAUGAAUUUGAUAACUUUUUAAAUACCUCAUCAUAAGUGUAAACAUGCAGUAUCUGUGUUCUGUGAUUGGCUCUUUUCACGUUGCACAAUGCCCUGUAGCAUGAUAGAGUCCAGUCUUCCCUCCCCUUCCAAAUUGAGUAGUAGUCCAUUGCAUAAACUCAUGCGCCGCUGACAGGUUACUCCCACACUUAGCUACUGUGAAUAAUGAAGCAAUAAACACAUCUAUCAUAUACUCCUCAAGACUCUUCUAUUGUAUAAGUAUGGUUGAUAAUCAGAAGUGGGAUAGCUAACUCAUAUGGUAAUUUUUCUUUUCUUUUCUUUUGAGUCGUCUACAGGAGUUUCUACAGAUCCAGUGUCUGCACUGAAAACUACUCCAACAGCACAUCUGGCCCCAAGCUCUCUCUCCACAGCCUUGCCCUUCUGCGCCAUUUUUCUCCAGGGGCCACACUAUUAAGUACACUAUUAGCUGACGGCUCCUACGGUUUUAGCUUUCAUUCCCCUGAUUAUCAGUGACGGUGAGCAUCUCUCUGGAGUCUUACUGACAAUUCAUUUAUUUUCGUCAUAGAAAGUUCUGUUCAAACCUUUCUCCAUUAAAAAAAAAGACAUUUCUGUUAUCGAGUUCUUUGAACAUUACAGCUACAUGGUUUGUAAAUGUUUUUCCCCCAUUCUAUAGACGGUCUUUGACUCUGCUUCUGUUGACUGCUUUGCUAUAACAUUUUUGAUUAAUUUCAAUCAGUAAACUAUCUAUCCACUUUAGUUCUUUA